UUCCCCCUUCGGGGGGACGAGGGUGACAGGUGGUGCAUGGUUGUCGUCAGCUCGUGUCGUGAGAUGUUGGGUUAAGUCCCGCAACGAGCGCAACCCUCGACCUUAGUUGCCAGCAUUCAGUUGGGCACUCUAAGGUGACUGCCGGCUAAAAGUCGGAGGAAGGUGGGGAUGACGUCAAAUCAUCAUGCCCCUUAUGACCUGGGCUACACACGUGCUACAAUGGCCGGUACAAAGAGAAGCAACCUCGCGAGGGUGAGCAAAUCUCAAAAAGCCGUUCUCAGUUCGGAUUGAAGUCUGCAACUCGACUUCAUGAAGUCGGAAUCGCUAGUAAUCGCGGAUCAGCAUGCCGCGGUGAAUACGUUCCCAGGCCUU
This 372-nucleotide ribosomal RNA is filed under the name uncultured Anoxybacillus sp. RNAcentral describes it as "bacterial SSU rRNA". It matches the Rfam family "Bacterial small subunit ribosomal RNA", at positions 1012 to 1382 of the family's 1533-position model. The record is from RNAcentral. Lineage: Bacteria; Bacillati; Bacillota; Bacilli; Caryophanales; Anoxybacillaceae.